AGUCGUAACAAGGUCUCCGUAGGUGAACCUGCGGAGGGAUCAUUAACGUUUAAUACCAUAACCAAGACGGCGGCCGGCCUCUAUUUUAUAGGGCUAGCUGCUGUUUUGUACACCUGUGAAUUGUUUAAGUCUUAGCCAGUAUGGUUUCUAACCAUGUUUGGCCUAUUCGUACCCACCUAUACCUAUGUCUGAUUUAAAAUUUAGCCAUAUUGCUUUUUAAGUGAUUUUGGCCUAAUCAAAUACAACUGUUAGCAACGGAUCUCUAGGCUCUC
RNAcentral lists this unclassified non-coding RNA (272 nucleotides) under fungal sp. RNAcentral's name for it is "partial internal transcribed spacer region". The stretch from base 1 to 45 matches the Rfam family "Eukaryotic small subunit ribosomal RNA", at positions 1787 to 1831 of the family's 1831-position model. The record is from RNAcentral. Lineage: Eukaryota; Fungi.